GCUGGACGUAUCACAAGUGCGAAUGCUGACAUAAGUAACGAUAAAACGGGUGAAAAACCCGUUCGCCGGAAGACCAAGGGUUCCUGUCCAACGUUAAUCGGGGCAGGGUGAGUCGGCUCCUAAGGCGAGGCUGAAAAGCGUAGUCGAUGGGAAACAGGUUAAUAUUCCUGUACUUGGUAAAGCUGCGAUGUGGGGACGGAGUAGGUUAGGUUAUCGCACUGUUGGAUAUGUGCGUUUAAGUUGGUAGGUGGGAAGUUUAGGCAAAUCCGGACUUCCUUAACACAGAGAGAUGAUGACGAGGCUCUACGGAGCUGAAGUAACUGAUACCACACUUCCAGGAAAAGCCACUAAGCGAAAGGCUUUACUAAACCGUACUGAAAACCGACACAGGUGGUCAGGUAGAGAAUACUCAGGCGCUUGAGAGAACUCGGGUGAAGGAACUAGGCAAAAUAGCACCGUAACUUCGGGAGAAGGUGCGCCGGCGUAGAUUGUAAGGGCUAGCCCCUGAAGGUUGAACCGGUCGAAGAUACCAGCUGGCUGCAACUGUUUAUUAAAAACACAGCACUCUGCAAACACGAAAGUGGAGGUAUAGGGUGUGAUGCCUGCCCGGUGCUGGAAGGUUAAUUGAUGGUGUCAUCGAAAGAGAAGCACCUGAUCGAAGCCCCAGUAAACGGCGGCCGUAACUAUAACGGUCCUAAGGUAGCGAAAUUCCUUGUCGGGUAAGUUCCGACCUGCACGAAUGGCAUAAUGAUGGCCAGGCUGUCUCCACCCGAGACUCAGUGAAAUUGAAAUCGCCGUGAAGAUGCGGUGUACCCGCGGCUAGACGGAAAGACCCCGUGAACCUUUACUAUAGCUUGACACUGAACAUUGAAUUUUGAUGUGUAGGAUAGGUGGGAGACUUAGAAGUAGGAACGCCAGUUUCUAUGGAGUCAUCCUUGAAAUACCACCCUUUAACGUUUGAUGUUCUAACGAAGACUACGGAACGUGGUCUCGGACAGUGUCUGGUGGGUAGUUUGACUGGGGCGGUCUCCUCCCAAAGCGUAACGGAGGAGCACGAAGGUUUGCUAAUCACGGUCGGACAUCGUGAGGUUAGUGCAAUGGUAUAAGCAAGCUUAACUGCGAGACAGACAAGUCGAGCAGGUACGAAAGUAGGUCAUAGUGAUCCGGUGGUUCUGAAUGGAAGGGCCAUCGCUCAACGGAUAAAAGGUACUCCGGGGAUAACAGGCUGAUACCGCCCAAGAGUUCAUAUCGACGGCGGUGUUUGGCACCUCGAUGUCGGCUCAUCACAUCCUGGGGCUGAAGUAGGUCCCAAGGGUAUGGCUGUUCGCCAUUUAAAGUGGUACGCGAGCUGGGUUUAGAACGUCGUGAGACAGUUCGGUCCCUAUCUGCCGUGGGCGUAGGA
Molecule: ribosomal RNA, 1402 nt
Filed under: Haemophilus influenzae
Lineage: Bacteria; Pseudomonadati; Pseudomonadota; Gammaproteobacteria; Pasteurellales; Pasteurellaceae
Description: bacterial LSU rRNA
Rfam family: Bacterial large subunit ribosomal RNA
Source: RNAcentral